This is a long non-coding RNA of Bolinopsis microptera, 1516 nucleotides long. RefSeq lists it as uncharacterized. The transcript has 3 exons. Lineage: Eukaryota; Metazoa; Ctenophora; Tentaculata; Lobata; Bolinopsidae. The record is from RefSeq and is a predicted model, not a curated record.
AGCUAAGUUCGGUGUACAUUGCAGUGCAGAAGAAUUACGUGGAGAUUGUUCGAGAUCUUCAGUACUUCCUACUAGACUUGGAGUGAUAAACGUAGAAGUUACAGUUCCAGUAAAGCAAAGUAAAGUCUUGACCAGAAGAUUUUCCAGCAACGUGAAGAGUACGCCUGUUCCAGUACUUAUCUACUCUAUUUGCGAUAGUGUAGAAACAGUUGAUAAUUCUGCAGAGUUCUUCACUCCAGCUAGAGAGAGAUCAGCCGCUAGAAGAUCAUCGAGUCCGAUUGUUAGUGAAGGAACGAUAGGUGCUAACAGUUUUAGGUCACAUGAUGCUGAGGAGCACGACAUUGACACAACAGGAUCGCUUUCUCCUAUAGAUCUAGGGAGACAGAGCCCUCCGAGGGAGGAGCGCAGAUAUAACACUAGGAGACCUGAGGAACGGAGAGAACCUGAUCGUCUAGGAAUCGAUAAAGUUAGACUUGUUACGGAUGUUCUUAUGAAGCUCUUGAACCAGUAGAAGUCGGGGAGAUGCCCUGUUAGGGAAGUAACUAAUACCUUGGAAUCUAGUUUUAGUACAGUAAUAUCUUACGCACUUAGCUAGGCUUUCCAUUUAGUACUUAGCGGUGAUAUUAGUACCUUACUUAGGCUUAACACGUGUAUCUUUCAGAACAGUACUGAUAGGGAUAUUAGGAUUGUGCCUCGCAACACGAACCGUUCAGGGCUGCCAUUUUGAUAUUUCGAUAAUUUCUUUUAGUUUUAGUUAUUUCAACUCUUUUCACGUUGACCCUUUUACUAGUAAGCAGUUUGGUUUUCUGCUUUUGGGUAAAAGUUUUUCUUAGCUUUAUUUUAGUCAUUUUUUAGCCACUAAUCCUAGUUUCCCCCUCCAGACCAUGAGCAGCCCCGAGUUUGAAGGUUUGGAUUUCUCUGACGAUCAGAAGAUAAGGAUGAAGAAGAUAGAGGAGGAGAAAGCGAGACUCAGGCGGAAAUUGGAUCGCAUUGCAAGGAGGAUCGAGAAGAUUCAGCGACGCAGGGAGAGGAGCUCCAGCAGCAAACCCGUCCCACUAGUGAUGCCGGACUGGGAGAGUUUAGAUCUAGCCACCUUCCCCAUUACGAAGGGAGCCAUCAACAUCCUCCUACAAUAUCCUAAUCUAGAUGAGUGGGUGAAGCAGCGAGUGGAUGAGGCUGCUGAAAACUUUUUGAAAACUAAGGAUGCAGAGGAGUUGUUGGAGCAGAUGAGGAGAGUGCGAGACAGGGUGAUGUCCAGCAUCACAGAAGUAUGCAGGAGACGAAGAAAGGUUUUCAGAAACUCGAGGGAGUACCAAUUGGUGAAAAUCAACAACAGGAGGGCAGUUGCAGUGCAAUUCAACACAGCGACUCGCGUGAUGGGCGAGAUUCGCGAGAAUUCGUCCAACACGCGACUUCAACGGGCACUGGACAGCCUGGUGAGCCUCAGAAACAUGGAGAGGACUUUCUGAGGAUUCCUUCUUUCUGUUUUGAUAUUUUAUUGUAUUUAUUUAUUGUG